RNAcentral lists this unclassified non-coding RNA (27 nucleotides) under Mus musculus (house mouse). RNAcentral's name for it is "oocyte_clustered_small_RNA5633". The record is from RNAcentral. Lineage: Eukaryota; Metazoa; Chordata; Mammalia; Rodentia; Muridae.
UGCAUCACCUCAUUUACCUUAGCCAAA